RNAcentral lists this ribosomal RNA (289 nucleotides) under uncultured Catonella sp. RNAcentral describes it as "partial 16S ribosomal RNA". Lineage: Bacteria; Bacillati; Bacillota; Clostridia; Lachnospirales; Lachnospiraceae. The record is from RNAcentral.
CUACUAGGGUUUCUAAUCCUGUUUGCUACCCACGCUUUCGAGCCUCAGCGUCAGUUUUGGUCCAGCAGGCCGCCUUCGCCACCGGUGUUCUUCCUAAUAUCUAAGCAUUUCACCGCUACACUAGGAAUUCCGCCUGCCUCUCCCAUACUCAAGUUUAACAGUUUUGGGAGCAGUCAAGGGGUUGAGCCCCCUGCUUCCACUCUCAACUUGCCAAACCGCCUGCGCUCCCUUUACACCCAGUAAAUCCGGAUAACGCUUGCCCCCUACGUAUUACCGCGGCUGCUGGCAC